Molecule: transfer RNA, 95 nt
Filed under: marine sediment metagenome
Description: tRNA-Leu
Rfam family: tRNA
About the family: Transfer RNA (tRNA) molecules are approximately 80 nucleotides in length. Their secondary structure includes four short double-helical elements and three loops (D, anti-codon, and T loops). Further hydrogen bonds mediate the characteristic L-shaped molecular structure. tRNAs have two regions of fundamental functional importance: the anti-codon, which is responsible for specific mRNA codon recognition, and the 3' end, to which the tRNAs corresponding amino acid is attached (by aminoacyl-tRNA synthetases). tRNAs cope with the degeneracy of the genetic code in two manners: having more than one tRNA (with a specific anti-codon) for a particular amino acid; and 'wobble' base-pairing, i.e. permitting non-standard base-pairing at the 3rd anti-codon position.
Source: RNAcentral
GGAGGCAUGGCAGAGUGGUCGAUUGCGCCAGAUUUAGGUUCUGGAGAUGGUGCCGAUAACACCAUUCGGGGGUUCGAAUCCCCCUGCCUCCGCCA